Molecule: ribosomal RNA, 305 nt
Filed under: uncultured bacterium
Lineage: Bacteria
Description: bacterial SSU rRNA
Rfam family: Bacterial small subunit ribosomal RNA
Source: RNAcentral
UUCCUACGGGAGGCAGCAGUGGGGAAUAUUGCACAAUGGGGGAAACCCUGAUGCAGCGACGCCGCGUGGGCGAGGAAGUACCUCGGUAUGUAAAGCCCUAUCAGCAGGGAAGAAACAGGACAGUACCUGACUAAGAAGCCCCGGCUAACUACGUGCCAGCAGCCGCGGUAAUACGUAGGGGGCAAGCGUUAUCCGGAUUUACUGGGUGUAAAGGGAGCGUAGACGGCUGUGCAAGUCUGAAGUGAAAGCCCGUGGCUCAACCGCGGAACUGCUUUGGAAACUUUAUAGCUUGAGUACUGGAGAGG